CCUAACACAUGCAAGUCGAACGGUAACAGGAAACAGCUUGCUGUUUCGCUGACGAGUGGCGGACGGGUGAGUAAUGUCUGGGAAACUGCCUGAUGGAGGGGGAUAACUACUGGAAACGGUAGCUAAUACCGCAUAACGUCGCAAGACCAAAGAGGGGGACCCUCGGGCCUCUUGCCAUCGGAUGUGCCCAGAUGGGAUUAGCUUGUUGGUGGGGUAACGGCUCACCAAGGCGACGAUCCCUAGCUGGUCUGAGAGGAUGACCAGCCACACUGGAACUGAGACACGGUCCAGACUCCUACGGGAGGCAGCAGUGGGGAAUAUUGCACAAUGGGCGCAAGCCUGAUGCAGCCAUGCCGCGUGUAUGAAGAAGGCCUUCGGGUUGUAAGACG
RNAcentral lists this ribosomal RNA (389 nucleotides) under uncultured bacterium. RNAcentral's name for it is "bacterial SSU rRNA". It matches the Rfam family "Bacterial small subunit ribosomal RNA", at positions 47 to 432 of the family's 1533-position model. The record is from RNAcentral.